CGCUAUCACUCCUACGGGGAGGCAGCAGUAGGGAAUCUUCCACAAUGGGCGCAAGCCUGAUGGAGCAACACCGCGUGAGUGAAGAAGGGUUUCGGCUCGUAAAGCUCUGUUGUUAAAGAAGAACACGUAUGAGAGUAACUGUUCAUACGUUGACGGUAUUUAACCAGAAAGUCACGGCUAACUACGUGCCAGCAGCCGCGGUAAUACGUAGGUGGCAAGCGUUAUCCGGAUUUAUUGGGCGUAAAGAGAGUGCAGGCGGUUUUCUAAGUCUGAUGUGAAAGCCUUCGGCUUAACCCGGAGAAGUGCAUCGGAAACUGGAUAACUUGAGUGCAGAAGAGGGUAGUGGAACUCCAUGUGUAGCGGUGGAAUGCGUAGAUAUAUGGAAGAACACCAGUGGCGAAGGCGGCUACCUGGUCUGCAACUGACGCUGAGACUCGAAAGCAUGGGUAGCGAACAGGAUUAGAUACCCUGGUAG
This 475-nucleotide ribosomal RNA is filed under the name uncultured bacterium. Its description in RNAcentral is "bacterial SSU rRNA". It matches the Rfam family "Bacterial small subunit ribosomal RNA", at positions 328 to 793 of the family's 1533-position model. The record is from RNAcentral.